RNAcentral lists this ribosomal RNA (1487 nucleotides) under Candidatus Pelagibacteraceae bacterium. RNAcentral's name for it is "bacterial SSU rRNA". It matches the Rfam family "Bacterial small subunit ribosomal RNA". Lineage: Bacteria; Pseudomonadati; Pseudomonadota; Alphaproteobacteria; Candidatus Pelagibacterales; Candidatus Pelagibacteraceae. The record is from RNAcentral.
UAACUUAAGAGUUUGAUUAUGGCUCAGAACGAACGCUGGCGGCAUGCCUCAUACAUGCAAGUCGAACGAGGUCUUCGGACCUAGUGGCGCACGGGUGAGUAACAUGUGGGAAUCUACCUGAAGGUUCGGAAUAACUGCGGGAAACUGUAGCUAAUACCGGAUGUGUCUGCAAAGAGAAAGAUUUAUCGCCUUCAGAUGAGCCCGCACUAGAUUAGCUAGUUGGUGAGGUAAUUGCUCCACCAAGGCUACGAUCUAUAGCUGAUUUGAGAGGAUGAUCAGCCACACUGGGACUGAGACACGGCCCAGACUCCUACGGGAGGCAGCAGUAGGGAAUAUUGGACAAUGGGGGAAACCCUGAUCCAGCAAUGCCGCGUGAGUGAAGAAGGCCUUCGGGUUGUAAAGCUCUUUCAUCAAUGAUGAUAAUGACAUUAGUUGAAGAAGAAGCCCCGGCUAACUUCGUGCCAGCAGCCGCGGUAAUACGAAGGGGGCUAGCGUUGUUCGGAAUCACUGGGCGUAAAGCGUAUGUAGGCGGAUCAAAAAGUUAGAUGUGAAAUCCCUGGGCUCAACCCAGGAACUGCAUUUAAAACUAGUGAUCUAGAAUUUGGUAGGGGCCAGUAGAAUUUCCAGUGUAGAGGUGAAAUUCGUAGAUAUUGGAAAGAAUACCAGUGGCGAAGGCGACUGGCUGGGCCAAUUUUGACGCUGAGAUACGAAAGCGUGGGUAGCAAACAGGAUUAGAUACCCUGGUAGUCCACGCAGUAAACGAUGAGUGCUAGUCGCUGGGACAAUAGUUUCAGUGUCGAAGCUAACGCAUUAAGCACUCCGCCUGGGAAGUACGGUCGCAAGAUUAAAACUCAAAUAAAUUGACGGGGGCCCGCACAAGCGGUGGAGCAUGUGGUUUAAUUCGAAGCAACGCGAAGAACCUUACCAGACCUUGACAUGGUAUGUUUGAAUUACAGAAUAGUAAUUCUUCAGUUCGGCUGGCAUACACACAGGUGCUGCAUGGCUGUCGUCAGCUCGUGUCGUGAGAUGUUGGGUUAAGUCCCGCAACGAGCGCAACCCUCAUUUUUAGUUGCCAUCAGGUUAAGCUGGGCACUCUAAAAAAACUGCCGGUGAUAAGCUGGAGGAAGGCGGGGAUGACGUCAAGUCCUCAUGGCCCUUACGGUCUGGGCUACACACGUGCUACAAUGGUGGUGACAGUGGGCAGCAAUACUGCAAAGUAAAGCUAAUCCCAAAAAACCAUCUCAGUUCGGAUUGGACUCUGCAACUCGAGUCCAUGAAGUUGGAAUCGCUAGUAAUCGUAGAUCAGCGUGCUACGGUGAAUACGUUCUCGGGCCUUGUACACACCGCCCGUCACGCCAUGGGAGUUGGUUUUACCUUAAGCCGGUGCGCUAACCGCAAGGAAGCAGCCGUCCACGGUAGGGUCAGCGACUGGGGCGAAGUCGUAACAAGGUAACCGUAGGGGAACCUGCGGUUGGAUCACCUCCUUU